UGUCGAUAAGAAAGAUGGAGAUUUUGAUGAUAAAUCAUAUGACAGGUUCUCCAAUCUCCCAACUGCGAAAGAUGUGCAUAUAAUUGAAUACUAGGAUCUUCCCCAAGCAUAUGUGGUUAGUUAGCAUAAAUUUCAGGUUCCCUUCGUCUUGUUUAAACUUGGCUUCAACCUUCAGUGAGGAGAUUUGCUAUAUCUAUAUCUAUGUCGUUCCGCGGGCGUGGUCGUUGUUCCCUGUUUGUGCUUCACUUCAGAAUUGUUAUCCUACCUUCGUGGUACCAGAUGACUCGGUUGGUGACGUGCAAGUCUAGAUCUGUAAGUUUUCAUGUUUUUAAACAACAAAUGUUGUAAUGUACUAUUUACCUUCAUGUCUGAAUUAAUCAUGUAUAUAAGAGAGAAAAAACUGCGAGUAACAUUUUCCGUAAGUUUCAGAAUAUGGCCAUUGUUGACAACAAGGUAAUAUUGUUAUAGAAUUUAAGUUCAGCUAGAUAGGUCCAAUUGUUCCGUUAAUUUUCAUUCUCUAUCCUCCAUCUGGUAGCAAGUACUUGGCAUUUAUAGACUUUCUCUUUGCUCAGGCUGUAUGCUCUUCUUUACUGAAGUGGGAGAAAUACGGUUCUCAGAUAAACUUCGAUGUUUAAUACACUGCUCUUAUAUUUCAUCGAUAAAUACACCAAGAUUUGUAUUUUUGUGUCCUGUAACUAACAUUAUGAUGGCACUAUCAGAUCCAUGCCUCCUCGCACACUCACCGAGACAUCUUCGAAUGAACUGCAGGAGGGUGGGUGGAGGGCGGAGGGCGCGCUCACCGGUGCUCUGGCAUCAUGCUCGAUGAGGAAGAGGGCUUGGCGUCGGGGACGUGAACCUGGUUGUGGCGUCGGAUGCAUGGCGCAGCUGGCGCAACUUCCUAUGGCCGCACGACGAGGCAUUUGGCCGCGCAGCGAGGCAGGGCCCAAACUCCAUGACAACUUUCUUCCUCGGCGGCAGAUGAACCCUGUUGUUCAUGAUGAGGAGAUCAACCCUGUUGUGUAUUUUAUCUAAUGGUUUCAAACCAUGUUGUUCAUGAUGUGGAGAUGAACCCUGUUGGUCAUGUAAGUUAGAUGCUUGGAUUGUGAAUCCUUGAAUGUUUCAAAAUGUUGGUUUCAAACCUAGAUUGCUUGGAAAUAUUGGUUUUAAACA
Long non-coding RNA from Lolium rigidum, 1170 nucleotides. RefSeq lists it as uncharacterized. NCBI's taxonomy places the organism in Eukaryota, Viridiplantae, Streptophyta, Magnoliopsida, Poales, Poaceae. The record is from RefSeq and is a predicted model, not a curated record. The transcript is spliced from 4 exons.